RNAcentral lists this ribosomal RNA (257 nucleotides) under uncultured bacterium. RNAcentral describes it as "partial 16S ribosomal RNA". It matches the Rfam family "Bacterial small subunit ribosomal RNA", at positions 793 to 1055 of the family's 1533-position model. The record is from RNAcentral.
GUCCACGCAGUAAACGAUGAUUACUAGCUGUUUGCGAUACACAGUAAGCGGCACAGCGAAAGCGUUAAGUAAUCCACCUGGGGAGUACGCCGGCAACGGUGAAACUCAAAGGAAUUGACGGGGCCCGCACAAGCGGAGGAACAUGUGGUUUAAUUCGAUGAUACGCGAGGAACCUUACCCGGGUUUGAACGUAGGGAGACAGGAGUGGAACAUUCUAUUCAGCAAUGACUGCCUACGAGGUGCUGCAUGGUUGUCGU